GAAUUUUAUAUAUAAUUUUAUUUUAUUAAGUAAUUUUGUGUUAUAAUAUAAUUAUAUAUUUUGUUGGGAGGAUAGUUAAAUAUAGAGAACUUUAAUUAAAAUGUUAAAUAUAAAUUAGUGAAUUUUAGAGUGGUUGAUAAAUUAAUAAAGAAUUAAUUACCUUAGGGAUAACAGCGUAAUAUUUUUAGAGAGUUCAUAUUAAUAAAAGUGUUUGC
RNAcentral lists this ribosomal RNA (215 nucleotides) under Solenopsis virulens. Its description in RNAcentral is "partial large subunit ribosomal RNA". The record is from RNAcentral. Lineage: Eukaryota; Metazoa; Arthropoda; Insecta; Hymenoptera; Formicidae.